This 253-nucleotide ribosomal RNA is filed under the name uncultured bacterium. Its description in RNAcentral is "partial 16S ribosomal RNA". It matches the Rfam family "Bacterial small subunit ribosomal RNA", at positions 524 to 776 of the family's 1533-position model. The record is from RNAcentral.
UACAGAGGUGGCAAGCGUUGUUCGGAAUUACUGGGCGUAAAGGGCGCGUAGGCGGCCUUCUAAGUCAGACGUGAAAUCCCCCGGCUUAACCUGGGAACUGCGUCUGAUACUGGGAGGCUUGAGUAUGGGAGAGGGAUGUAGAAUUCCAGGUGUAGCGGUGAAAUGCGUAGAUAUCAGGAGGAACACCGGUGGCGAAGGCGGUGCUCUGGGCCAGUAUUGACGCUGAGGAGCGAAAGCGUGGGUAGCAAACAGG